RNAcentral lists this unclassified non-coding RNA (190 nucleotides) under Phomopsis sp. KPS-Kg. RNAcentral describes it as "partial ITS1". The record is from RNAcentral. Lineage: Eukaryota; Fungi; Ascomycota; Sordariomycetes; Diaporthales; Diaporthaceae.
GCGGAGGGAUCAUUGCUGGAACGCGCCCCAGGCGCACCCAGAAACCCUUUGUGAACUUAUACCUUACUGUUGCCUCGGCGCAUGCUGGCCCCCUCGGGGCCCCCUGGAGACAGGGAGCAGGCACGCCGGCGGCCAAGUUAACUCUUGUUUUUACACUGAAACUCUGAGAAAAAACACAAAAUGAAUCAAA